Molecule: long non-coding RNA, 35661 nt
Filed under: Triticum aestivum (bread wheat)
Lineage: Eukaryota; Viridiplantae; Streptophyta; Magnoliopsida; Poales; Poaceae
Description: long non-coding RNA (TAES_LNC003690)
Source: RNAcentral
GAACCGUUGCAACAUCGUCUCGCAAUAAAUAAUUGUGCAAAAAAAUUAUGAUCAUUCACAAUAAUAUUGGAUCUCGAAACCAUGACUUAUUACAUAAUCAGUUUAUUCACUCUACAUAAAGCAGCGGACUCAUAGAGACACAUGCAUAUUGGAUAGUACAUUAUAUGGAAGGCGUGCAUGCAUCCCUAACCGAUCACACCCUUAGUUGCACCUGGGGCUCUGCACGAUUGCUAACCGGAAAUGACUGGUCGAACGUGGCUGCAUGCUCACUACCAGUAAACCUAAGCUUGUCACCAACACGUUGAACCGUAUGGAAUGCAAGAAAAUCCCACUCAAACUGGAUCCUGACGCCGCCCCAAUUGAGUAAUGGAUCCGGGCUGGAUAACCCCACUGACUAUGCUGUCAAACCGAAUCUUGUGUGAUCCACCGGCAACUGUAACGUUGAAGUCGCACGAGGCGGGGAGGGUCACCUCAACGGCACCCCCAUCAUGGUUCACGUACGACUUCACGCCCAGAGGCAAGAGAGCCCGCAGGAAGUUGUUUUUCGCCAACAGGUCGUAUGCUGUGUCGGAGGUGGCCGCUUGGAGGAUGGAAGCCAUGAAUACGAUGAGGAGCAGAUGCUGGAUGGCCAUGGCUAGCUAACUGUUGCUGCUUACAAAUUGUAUCAAGGAAUAUGAGGAACUGAGAAGUGUAGACUAAGGCCUUGGCCACGUAUUAUAUAUGCUGCCCAACGAAAUCAAAGUCAAUCGUGCUUUAAUUGCAUUUAUUUUGUUCCUGAUUGUCACUCCAUCAACCGCCUCAUCAAAUAUGCUAAAAAUAUCAUCCCAUUAAAUCAUAUUUAUUUUGGCCUAGAACAUUCUAUAGUUAAUGGUUAUGCCAAAACGUUCCUCAAAUCUUCAUAAUCAAUACGUACCAUAAAAUGAGACUGAAAUUUCAGAGCAACAUUCAUUUACGUACUUCACAGCCGACAUAUGAAACAUAUGCAAAAACCUAAAAAUGAAUCAAGGGGAAACAUCAACAUCCCAACAGUUUGAUCCUUGAUGUUGGCUUGGGUACCAAUGAGGCUUCUCUUCUCUUCAAAUAAUGUUGUGCAGUGCAACUAAAACAUAAAACACCCGCAAGAAAGAAAUAUUUCAUUUAGAUAUACUUGAGUUUUACAUGAGUAUGCGGUGCAAUAGAAUGAUUAUCUCCCAUUGUGCAGAUCAUCUCUUUCAGGAUGCCUACUCAGGCCAGCACAGACUCAUACAUAACAUCUCCGUCAAAGUUUCCACACUGUUAUAGCAUGAACUCCCAGACCGUGAGAGAGGCUCAGUACCCAUAUCCAAAAUGAAGAGUGCGGAGGAGCAGGUGCCUACCCCUCCACCUUCCACUUCUCUUAAAAUUUUCCUGUGCAAUGCAACUAAACUAAAAAACAACUCCAAGCAAUAUAUUCAAUUUAGAUCUUGUUGGGUUAUGAUAGGUCUCCAACGUAUUUAUAUUUUUUUAUUGUUCCAUGCUAUUAUAAUUGUUGGGUCAUGAGCCAAAAGCAAGCCAUCGAACAUGCCAGUGUUGGAUUGGAUGAGAUUGUCGACCGCCUGAAGGAGGUUCUCAUCGUGAUCCUUGAAGAGCCGGUCCAGACCUACGGUGAAAUACGCUCGUUGAAGCGCGUACACGCCGCACCUUUCCUCGGACGGCUUGUCCAUCGCCUCCGCUCACGGCCGAUCACGCCACCGCGUCCCGUGAUGGUGUCGCGGCAACUCCAGGACCACUUAAUCUUAUACCAAUUGUGAGCAACUCACCUGAUCGAGAGGAAUUGCUAGGGAUUAGAAUUCGAAAUUGCGGAAAUUGGUUCGUUAGCUAGCCGUCCGUCCACCCUCACAGCUACACUACACCGCCUGUUGCCAUCAUCCAAAUCCCAGCCAGGAGAUAGGAGAGAAUUAUAAUUCCUACUAGCUUAGCCCGCGCGGCGACACGCCGCGCCCAUCGAUCAGUUACGACUAUGUAGACUAUGGUCCAAGCAAUAGAGUAAUAAGUAGUUAUGAUGAAAUUUGUUGCACGACUUGAGGCUUUUUAGCAAAUUGUUUUGUUCACAACAAUUUAUAGACACAAAUAUCUAUCUUUCAUGGAAACUUUUAGUUUAUUUUGUACAUAGCAAGGGUCUGUUCACCAAGUUGAAACAAAUACACAACAUGACCAAAAGUAAGGAACUUCGAAACAAUGCUUUUGUAGCUAAAAUUUAAUAAUUUUUCACAUUUCAUAACAUAAAUACUUAACUAAAACUUACAUCUGAUCCGAAGUACAACCAUUGAGACAGUAAAAAAACAACUAUUUUGAUCAUCACAAAAAAAUUAAUGUGCAUUUCAUGGAAAAAGUUUAGAGACAAAAUAAUUUAGCCAAGAGAAAAACUAUUUCAGAUCACAAAAGGCGCUCCAAAGAGUAAUUGUGUAUAUUAUUCAAAAUAACACUUUGUUACCUUCAGAGGCUUUAAUUAGCCCCAUUGCAUCUUGUGGAAUCAUGCAGUGAUACAAAUUCUUACCAUAAACAACAAAAUUAAGCAGCUCUUAAUAUAGAAACAACCAUAUCACUCUGAAUCAAGGGAGCAUGAUGCGAUGAACUGAUGAUGGGGAAUCUAUGGUAGCAUAUACCCAGGAAACAGUGUUCAUGGAAACUUUGUUAAACAACCCCUUGCUCAGCUUAAAAGUAUUCCUUCCUGGGUCUCCACUAAAACAAAGCAAUAUUUAUACACCCACAUGUGAGAACAAUAUGAGCCAUUGUUUGAUAUAAAACCAACAAUGCUUGAACAUACUUGUUUCUCUACCUCACCAUGUGGCGGCCAGAAAAAGCUUUAACAAAUUAAAAACCACUUGCAAAUUGAAGUUGAGAGUCUUCACUUAUUUCUCGAAAUGGAAGGAGGAAGGGGCCUUAAUUUGUCCCAGUAACCCCAUGAAUAUAAUUAGCCAAAUAUGCGGCAUUUCAUCUUAUUACACGGUCAUGCUGAAGGAGGGAACAUCAAUAAAAUUAGGCAUAAGAAAUCCAUCAAAUGAAGAGAGAUGUACUUAGAAAUAAGAAUAACAAACAUUCUCAGAUACUAUGUACCUUAUCCUGCCUCUAAGAAUAUGUCAAGAAGGUGAAUCAUUCACUUUUAUGUUACCGUUGCUGACAACGGACAACUGUGGAUGGAAACAAAAUUCUCGGCAAUGCAUAUAUGAAACUAAGUAACAUGACUUAGAAAAUAUAAUGUAAAAUAUCACAAUAAACUACUACUAAGUAUGUUCAAUAGUAAUACAACCUCAGUUUGUACCCCGGAAAUUUCUAUCACCAAAACAUCUUAGAAAGUUUAGUGCCAGUGAUGUGCCUGCCAUAAAACCGAAUGCCAAUUUUCAGUUAAAAAAUAACCGCGCAAGACCAUAUUCUUCUGCCGCCAAGGGUAUAUGAUCGAGUGGGGCCAACUAAAGACAGGCCCCACGAUUCCAUUUUUUAAUGUAUGUUGUUGUAUAAUGAAUGACGGGCUUGUAUGCUUACAUGACUAUUUGGUUUUUGAUGUGAUGAAAAUUGGAGGGAAAGAUGCUGGACGGACUAAUUUGAUCAAUCAGGUGAGUAGAAGUAUUAGAGUUUUGGCCAUCUCAUCCAUUAAAUUUGGAUGGAGGGUAUGCAUCUUAAUAUGAUAAACAUAUAUGCAUACCGUAUAUGGGUUAUAUACAUAUAAAAAUCAGUGCAGCAGGCCUUUUUUCUGAAUCUAAACAUCUUGGUGGCCGAGUUCCAGUGUGAAAAUAUUGGUUUUAGUCCCUGGUCAAAUGGACUGAUGCAUAUUAUGUUUGGUUGUACCACAAAAAAUAAUUUGGUUGCUUUAAGAUAUUCAACCGAGGUAGACGAUGCAAUUUUGGCUGACAUGAAGUUUUACGAUCAUCAAUACAGCAGAAUAUGCAAAAGAUGGGAUAAAGCAAGUCAUAUCUACUCCCUCAGUCCCAUAAUAUAACAACGUUUUUGACACGACGGAGGGAGUAGUUUGUUUAUUUGUUUGAGGAACACUUAUUUGCUUGGAGAAUAAUGAAGUGUGCUUGCACCGGUAGACAUGAGAUGAACUUGAACAAACGAUCUGCAUUCAUAUAUGCAUUGUACUAGAAAUCAGUGCUGCUCUGACUUGCCUCUGCAUUGCCUCUGAACCAGUGUUGAUCUAUAUCGGAGAUCAGGAAUUUACUCAUCAGGUCACUGCAUCUACUUUAUUGCGAUUAAACCACCAAACUCAAAGAAAUACCAGCAAUUUAUUUAAUAGUCUUAUUUGAUUUUUUAUUCAGAACGCAUUGAGCUAUUUCUUUUUCCAAGCUACAUUCUUGUACAUUGGAUUCUCAAGGAGCAUCACUUGCGAGACAUGUCUUCACAUACUACCAUUUCAGAACACCACUCCCUUCACGCACAGGACAUACAUGUUCUACAUCCACCCCUCACACUCCUAAUUUCAAACCGAGUUGGCAGGCUAUUGUAAGGAAGGUAAGCAACCUUCUAGAUGGAAUAUUGGAAUUUACUCUGGCAAGGUAGGUCUUAAACAUAUUAUCAUCUGGCUAUCUACUGUUUGAGCUCCCCAUGCUGCUAACACCAUCAAAUAUUGUUUGCUCCGUACAUCUUCAUAUGCCAAUUUGACCUUUUUUUGGCAGACACAGUAUCUCAGAACAUCUAAAUUGACUCCUUGCAUAGGUCUCUGAAUUGACACAAUCAGAAGGAUAAAACAAUCGCUAGAGCUCUUAUAGGAAGUCACCCAUCAUUUGACUUAGACUAAAGAAGGUGUCUAUCAGAAAAAAAGGAACAAAAAGUAAGUGCGAAGAAACACAUGUAGGGUUGCACAUAAUUUGUAAGAGAUGAUCAAGGCAUAUAGUUGCAGCAAGUAGCAAAUGGCAUGAAUUUAUUCAUGAUGCACUCACGCAUCAAGGGUGUAAAUCUUCUUUAGCUAGGUCCAAAUGCAGAUAGAUACAGUACAGGAAUGAUGUGUGAUAUGUCAUUGUAGGUUUCAGACCUAAUGAAAAGUUUAUUACAGUACAUGAAAAAUAUUCAUGAAACGGUUAUACAGUACAUGAAUGAUGAGAAAUCGGAAAUUUCUGUACAGGAGUGCUGUAUAAUAAAUUGCUGAGAGGAAUAAAGAAGAUGCAGAAUGUCUGAAACUUCUCAAAACCAGAAACAAUUAUACAAAAGCUACCUGACCGAGUAUACGGCUAGGAAUCUGCCUAAUUCAGUGUCUCUUAUAACCCGCCAACGACUACGGCGUAAUCACCAUCACUGCGGCUCAACCAGAAUUCGAUCGAAUAAUGAGGCAAAUGAAGUAGCUAAUAUGGGGUAAAUGCACACUAACUUGGCAGCAAGAACAGAUGGGUCGUAAGCGCCUUCAGUGACCCUACGACCUGCAAAUGGCAGUAUACAGACAGUACGCCUUUACUCCGAAUAACCGAGGAGGAGCUGUCCUUAUCCUCUUUUUUUGCGGGGGAGCUGUCUUUAUCCUCCACUCAAGCUAGCUAUACUUACAAAGUUAGAGCUAUAUAAAGUUUUGAAGCGUAGCGCUGUGAAUGGAUCACUCGUCCAGCAGCCUCCUGACACAUAAAAUAGGCAGAGCGAGCAUUACAAGGUCCCAUAACUCGGGGUCAGGCUUCUCGAACACGAUGACGCGCACCACCGUGCGCCACGCCGACGCCAGGUAGUAGAGCGCGGGCCUCUUACACUUGUUGUGCGCCAGGGGCUUCAUGUUGAAUGCGCGCGCCUUGUAGUCGGCGGGCCAGUACCAGUUCAUGAACGUCCGCGCCGGCAUCUGCAUCUCCCGCGCCAGCACGACGCCCUCGGCACCAUCACCACGAACCCCCAUGCCACUGACACCAUCCACCAGUUCGCCGCGAUGUAGCAUAUCGACUGGUGCAUCACCCCCGUCGAACAGCCUCCGCAGAGACGCCGGGCGCAAACGCACGUUGGGGAUAAGCGGUCGAGGUGGUGCAGCGAGUCAGCGACACCAGCGGUGCCACCUGGUGGGCGGCGAGGAGGCCCAGGAGGUCACCAUACACGCCUUACUCGUGGAAGCCCGAGUGUCGGCACUCCCAGCUCCGCCAUGCCCCAUGCACGAUGUAGUAGGGGACGGCGAGGAGGUUGUCCGGGAGGAAGACCGUGUUGUCGACUUGUCGUCACCCAUGACGAACCAGCGUACACCUGGGAGACUGACGCGGAAGGUCUCAGAGAUGACGGUCGACGUGUGAGAUGCAUGCGGAUGGCAGAGCGAUGACCGUGCGUGUAGGAGAAACCGGAGGUAUCCGGUAAGAUCUUGAUGUAUAUGCACUCCUUCCGCUUCUCCAACAGGCGCGCCAACGCCGUGAAGCCGAACACUGCAGCGUAAUCGUCGUUGUCGACACCGUGGCCGUGGCAGGUUGCGGUGGUGGUGGCGUACUCGUCGUCAACACCACCGUAUCUGUGGAGGGUGGUGGUGGCAUCCUCGCCGUCGACACCACCGUGACCGUGGCGGGCAUCAGCAGGGGCCUCGCUAGCGGCAACGUGACUAAUUAGGAGGAUAGCGUUGUGGGCGGCUUCUUCUGGGUGGAGGCAGCCGGGCGCUGCCACGCUGGGCAAGAUGCUAUGUGCGAAGAAGAGCCCUUUUAUAGGCCAGUACGGCGGUGAAUGGGUGGCUGGGUUAUGCACCGCACUGGAGCAGAGUUUUCGGGAGCGUCUAGAACACACGGCUGGACAACAGCGGCAGUAACAAAAAGGUACAUAUCGAUUGGGCCAGAAGCGGUCACGACAGAAAUACAGAGAAGCAUCGAUGUGUCUGGAAAGGGACAUAUCGAUUGGGCCAGAAGCGGCCGCGACAGAAAUACAGAGAAGCAUCGAUGUGUCAACCAAGCGAUCGCCACACCCGUUGAAGAAAUUUGACAAAAAACUAAACACACCACUCAUUUCUACCCUGCCGUGUACCAAAAAAAUACCACGCACCAUACCCACAACUCACCAUAGGUCACUUUCAUCCAAUUGGUUUAAUCUCAAAGCAAAAACCUUGCCUGCAAUAGAGGCUUGGGUAUUUAAACUAGUGAUCGCUAACAUAGUAGAAGGGCGUGCUCAUAGUCCAUCAACCAUCGCGGUGGGUUGAUCUCGAACCUAGGCUGCGGUUAGAGCAUAAAAAUUGUAUGCGAUAUUGAGUCCAUCACACAAAGUUAGAACAUACAAACUAUGUGCAAUAGGAAGGGUCCAUCACACACGGUUAUAAUUAAAAAUCGUGUGCUCGGAUGGGUUGGCGAUUGGGGUGCCAAUACACACGCUUUCAAAACGGUGUGCGAUGAAUGGGCUCGACUAGGUCUAACAUAAGUGCUACAUUAUACAAUUAUUCAUUUUUUACAAGCAAACAUAGCACCAGACAUAAUUCACAAUUGGACAACCCAUCGCACACUCUACGAUAUUUUGUUCUGCCAUUUCUCUACUAAUGGACAAAAGGCACUCGGCUUACAUCGGUAUGCCAACAUGAUGUACCUUGAGUGCGUUACGCUGAGUGUCAAACCCGCCGAGGCAAAAUCAGCCUUUGCUAGGGGGUCUGCACACCCAAUGGCGGAGCUAUGUUGGNNNNNNNNNNNNNNNNNNNNNNNNNNNNNNNNNNNNNNNNNNNNNNNNNNNNNNNNNNNNNNNNNNNNNNNNNNNNNNNNNNNNNNNNNNNNNNNNNNNNNNNNNNNNNNNNNNNNNNNNNNNNNNNNNNNNNNNNNNNNNNNNNNNNNNNNNNNNNNNNNNNNNNNNNNNNNNNNNNNNNNNNNNNNNNNNNNNNNNNNNNNNNNNNNNNNNNNNNNNNNNNNNNNNNNNNNNNNNNNNNNNNNNNNNNNNNNNNNNNNNNNNNNNNNNNNNNNNNNNNNNNNNNNNNNNNNNNNNNNNNNNNNNNNNNNNNNNNNNNNNNNNNNNNNNNNNNNNNNNNNNNNNNNNNNNNNNNNNNNNNNNNNNNNNNNNNNNNNNNNNNNNNNNNNNNNNNNNNNNNNNNNNNNNNNNNNNNNNNNNNNNNNNNNNNNNNNNNNNNNNNNNNNNNNNNNNNNNNNNNNNNNNNNNNNNNNNNNNNNNNNNNNNNNNNNNNNNNNNNNNNNNNNNNNNNNNNNNNNNNNNNNNNNNNNNNNNNNNNNNNNNNNNNNNNNNNNNNNNNNNNNNNNNNNNNNNNNNNNNNNNNNNNNNNNNNNNNNNNNNNNNNNNNNNNNNNNNNNNNNNNNNNNNNNNNGUCAAAAGAAUUGACAGUUAGGUCACUUUGGGCCAAAAAAAAAAGUAUCCAAAAGAUGCCCUAUAUACCUAUAUGUUGCAAAAGAAAAUUACCCAAAAUUUUGUCACACACAUCUAGUAGCUGCGUUGAAACCAAAAACAAUGCAGCAGGAACCCAACCACUAGCGAUGAGACUACCCCACCGCCGACAGUCGCCACCCCACACCUACUCUGACCGACUGUGCAGCGCAUGCCACCGCCGCGACUCAAUCGGCCGUUCUCAGCCCCGCUACCACCCUGCCGCUUGGGAUGUCCGCUACCAAAUCUUGGGCCGGCGCAUCCGAUUCCACCGACUCUGGCCAUAGAAAGUUGGUGUAGCUACCGGGACAUCCCCCUUCAGUAUUUUGGCUAAUUUUGAACUUUUUGUCCGGAUCACAAGAAAAUGUUAGUGUCGUCCAUGUUGCUGAAGGGGAAUUACUACUUGGGGAUUUUCUCACUGAAUAUUGGAAUAUACUUACUUUAUGCAUGCCAUCAAAUAUAGCUCAUCCCCUGAAAGAACAAAGAUUGCUGAUGUUUUUUUCCACGGUUUUCUAAAACAAUGUUGAUCUUUUUCAGAGAAAUGCAAUGAUUAUUUUUAGAGAACAUUCUGCAAAUCAACUAAAUAAGAGUCUAGGCAUUCUUCUUGUUUUUUUCGGGGGGAAGGUGUCUAGGCAUUUAUUAACAUGUAGAACUUACAAUGCAUGGGGAAUGAAAGAUCAAAUAUACCUUGCUCUCCUUUCUUAUUUUAGUGGCUGUUAAUGUCAUCAUAAAGAAUAUUACACAUUAGGAUUGAGUUGUUUUGCUCUUCUAUUUUCCAGUAAGCCCUGCGAUAUUUUACAACCCAUCGGACACCCUUGUGGAUCUGAUGCUAUGUAGAUCAAGAUUAUUUCUAAUUACCUGCGAGACACCGACAAAGUAUAUCAUGUGGAAUUUCUUGUUCCUGUGGUUGGGAGGCUAGGCAAAAAAAAUAUAUGAUCAUCACAAUAAUAUUAGGUCUUGGAACCAUGACUUAUUACAUAAUCAGUUUAUUCACUCUACAUAAAGCAGCGGACUCACAAAGACACAUGCAUAUUGGAUACUACAUUAUAUGGAAGGCGUGCAUGCAUCCGUAACCGAUCACACCCUUAGCUGCACCUGGGGCUCUGCACGAAGUUGCUAACCGGAAAUGACUGGUCGAACGUGGCUGCAUGCUCACUACCAGUAAACCUCAGCUUGUCACCGACGCGUUGAACCGUGUGGAAUGCGAGAAAAUCCCACUCAAAUUGGAUCCUCACGCCACCCAGUUGAGUUAUGGAUCCGGGCCGGAUAACACCACUGACUAUGCUGUCAAACCGAAUCUUGUGUGAUCCACCGGCAACCGUAACAUUGAAGUCGCAGGAGGCGGGGAGUGUCACCUCAACGGCGCCCCCAUGGUUCACGUACGACUUCACACCCUGAGGCAGGAGAGCCCGCGGGAAGUUGUUUUUCUCCAAAAGGUCGUACGCUGUGUCGGAGGUGGCUGCUUGGAGGACAGAAGCCAGGAAGACGAUGAGGAGCAGAUGCCGGAUGGCCAUGUCUAGCUAACUGUUGCUGCUUACAAAUUGUAUCAAGGAAUAUGAGGAACUAGGAAGUAUGUGUAGACUGAGGCCCUGGCCACGUAUUAUAUAUGCUGCCCAACGAAAUCAAAGUCAAUCGUACUUUAAUUGCAUUUAUUUUGUUCCUGAUUAUCACUCCAUCAACCACCACAUCAAAUAUGCUAAAAAUAUCAUCCCAUUAAAUCAUAUUUAUUUCUGGCCUAGAACAUUCUAUAGUUAAUGGUUAUGCCAAAACGUUCCUCAAAUAUUCAUAAUCAAUACGUACCAUAAAAUGAGACUGAAAUUUCAGAGCAACAUUCAUUUACGUACUUCACAGCCGACAUAUGAAACAUAUGCAAAAACCUAAAAAUGAAUCAAGGGGAAACAUCAACAUCCAAACAGUUUGAUCCUUGAUGUUGGCUUGGGUACCAAUGAGGCUUCUCUUCUCUUCAAAUAAUGUUGUGCAGUGCAACUAAAACAUAAAACACCCGCAAGAAAGAAAUAUUUCAUUUAGAUAUACUUGAGUUUUACAUGAGUAUGCGGUGCAAUAGAAUGAUUAUCUCCCAUUGUGCAGAUCAUCUCUUUCAGGAUGCCUACUCAGGCCAGCACAGACUCAUACAUAACAUCUCCGUGAAAGUUUCCACAAUGUUAUAGCAUGAACUCCCAGACCGUGAGAGAGGCUCAGUACCCAUAUCCAAAAUGAAGAGUGCGGAGGAGCAGGUGCCUACCCCUCCACCUUCCACUUCUCUUAAAAUUUUCCUGUGCAAUGCAACUCAACUAAAAAACAACUCCAAGCAAUAUAUUCAAUUUAUAUCUUGUUGGGUUAUGAUACGUCUCCAACGUAUUUAUAUAUUUUUUAUUGUUCCAUGCUAUUAUAAUUGUUGGGUCAUGAGCCGAAAGCAAGCCAUCGAACAUGCCAAUGUUGGAUUGGAUGAGAUUGUCGACCGCCUGAAGGAGGUUCUCAUCGUGAUCCUUGAAGAGCCGGUCCAGACCUACGGUGAAAUACGCUCGUUGAAGCGCGUACACGCCACACCUUUCCUUGGACGGCUUGUCCAUCGCCUCCGCUCACGGCCGAUCACGCCACCGCAUCCCGUGAUGGUGUCGCGGCAACUCCAGGACCACUUAAUCUUAUACCAAUUGUGAGCAACUCACCUGAUCGAGAGGAAUUGCUAGGGAUUAGAAUUCGAAAUUGCGGAAAUUGGUUUCUUAGCUAGACGUCCGUCCACCCUCACAGCUACACUACACCGCAUGUUGUCAUCAUCCAAAUCCCAGCCAGGAGAUAGGAGAGAAGUAUAAUGCCUACUAGCUUAGCCCGCGCGGCGACACGCCGCGCCCAUCGAUCAGUCGCGACUAUGUAGACUAUGGUCCAAGCAAUAGAGUAAUAAGUAGUUAUGAUGAAAUUUGUUGCAUAACUUGAGGCUUUUUAGCAAAUUCUUUUGUUCACAACAAUUUAUAGACACAAAUAUCUAUCUUUCGUGGAAACUUUUAGUUUAUUUUGUACAUAGCAAGGGUCUGUCCACCAAGUUGAAACAAAUACACAACAUGACCAAAAGUAAGGAACUUCAGAACAGUGCUUUCGUAGCUAAAAUUUAAUAAUUUUUCACAUUUCAUAACAUAAAUACUUAACUAAAACUUACAUCUGAUCUGAAGUACAACCAUUGAGACAGUAAAAAAACCACUAUUUUGAUCAUCAGAAAAAAAUUAAUGUGCAUUUCAUGGAAAAAGUUUAGAGACAAAAUAAUUUAGCCAAGAGAAAAACUAUUUCAGAUCACAAAAGGCGCUCCAAAGAGUAAUUGUGUAUAUUAUUCAAAAGAACACUUUGUUACCUUCAGGCUUUAAUUAGCCCCAUUGUAUCUUGUGGAAUCAUGCAGUGAUACAAAUUCUUACCAUAAACAAAAAAAUUAAGCAGCUCUUAAUAUAGAAACAACCAUAUCACUCUGAAUCAAGGGAGCAUGAUGCGAUGAACUGAUGACGGGGAAUCUAUGGUAGCAUAUACCCAGGAAACAGUGUUCAUGGAAACUUUGUUAAACAACCCCUUGCUCAGCUUAAAAGUAUUCCUUCCUGGGUCUCCACUGAAACAAAGCAAUAUUUAUACACCCACAGGUGAGAACAAUAUGAGAUUGUUCGAUAUAAAACCAACAAUGCUUGAACAUACUUGUUUCUCUACCUCACCAUGUGGCAACCAGAAAAAGCUUUAACAAUUUAAAAACCACUUGCAAAUUGAAGUUGAGAGCCUUCACUUAUUUCUCGAAAUGGAAGGAGGAAGGGGCCUUAAUUUGUCCCAGUAACCCCAUGAAUAUAAUUAGCCAAAUAUGUGGCAUUUCAUCUUAUUACAUGGUCAUGCUGAAGGAGGGAACAUCAAUAAAAUUAGGCAUAAGAAAUCCAUCAAAUGAAGAGAGAUGUACUUAGAAAUAAGAAUAACAAACAUUCUCAGAUACUAUGUACCUUAUCCUGCCUCUAAGAAUAUGUCAAGAAGGUGAAUCAUUCACUUUUAUGUUACCGUUGCUGACAACGGACAACUGUGGAUGGAAACAAAAUUCUCAGCAAUGCAUAUAUGAAACUAAGUAACAUGACUUAGAAAAUAUAAUGUAAAAUAUCACAAUAAACUACUACUAAGUAUGUUCAAUAGUAAUACAACCUCAGUUUGUACCCCAGAAAUUUCUAUCACCAAAACAUCUUAGAAGGUUCAGUGCUAGUGAUGUGCCUGCCAUAAGACCGAAUGCCAAUUUCUAGUUAAAAAAUAACCGCGCAAGACCAUAUUCCUCUACCGCAAAGGGUAUAUGAUCAAGUGGGGCCAACUAAAGACAGGCCCCACGAUUCCAUUUUUUAAUGUAUGUUGUUGUAUAAUGAAUGACGCGCUUGUAUGCUUACGUGACUAUUUGGUUUUUGAUGUGAUGGAAAUUGGAGGGAAAGAUGCUGGACGGACUAAUUUGAUCAAUCGGGUGAGUAGAAGUAUUAGAGUUUUGGCCAUCUCAUCCAUUAAAUUUGGAUGGAGGGUAUGCAUCUUAAUAUGAUAAACAUAUAUGCAUACCGUAUAUGGGUUAUAUACAUAUAAAAAUCAGUGCAGCAGGCAUUUUUUCUGAAUCUAAACAUCUUGGUGGCCGAGUUCCAGUGUGAAAAUAUUGGUUUUAGUCCCUGGUCAAAUGGACUGAUGCAUAUUAUGUUUGGUUGUACCACGAAAAAUAAUUUGGUUGCUUUAAGACAUUCAACCGAGGUAGACGAUGCAAUUUUGGCUGACAUGAAGUUUUACGAUCAUCAAUAUAGCAGAAUAUGCAAAAGAUGGGAUAAAGCAAGUCAUAUCUACUCCCUCAGUCCCAUAAUAUAAGAGCGUUUUUGACACGAUGGAGGGAGUAGUUUGUUUAUUUGUUUGAGGAACACUUAUUUGCUUGGAGAAUAAUGAAGUGUGCUUGCACCGGUGCACAUGAGAUGAACUUGAACAAACGAUCUGCAUUCAUAUAUGCAUUGUACCAGAAAUCAGUGCUGCUCUAACUUGCCUCUGCAUUGCCUCUGAACCAGUGCUGAUCUAUAUCGGAGAUCAGGAAUUUACUCAUCAGGUCACUGCAUCUACUUUAUUGCGAUUAAACCACCAAACUCAAAGAAAUACCUGCAAUUUAUUUAAUAGUCUUAUUUGAUUUUUUAUUCAGAAUGCGUUGAGCUAUUUCUUUUGCCGAGCUACAUUCUUGUACAUUGGAUUCUCAAGGAGCAUCACUUGCGAGACAUAUCUUCACAUACUACCAUUUCAGAACACCACUCCCUUCACGCACAGGACAUACAUGUUCUACAUCCACCCCUCACACUCCUAAUUUCAAAACCGAGUUGGCAGGUUAUUGUAAGGCAGGUAAGCAACCUUCUAGAUGGAAUGUUGGAAUUUACUCUGGCAAGGUAGGUCUUAAACAUAUUAUCAUCUGGCUAUCUACUGUUUGAGCUCCCCAUGCUGCUAACACCAUCAAAUAUUGUUUGCUCCGGACAUCUUCAUAUGCCAAUUUGACCUUCUUUUUGGCAGACACAGUAUCUCAGAACAUCUAAAUUGACUCCUUGCACAGGUCUCUGAAUUGACACAAUCAGAAGGAUAAAACAAUCGCUAGAGCUCUUAUAGGAAGUCAGCCAUCAUUUUACUUAGACUAAAGAAGGUGUCUAUCACAAAAAAGGAAAAAAAAGUAAGUGCGAAGAAACACAUGUAGGGUUGCACAUAAUUUGUAAGAGAUGAUCAAGGCAUAUAGUUGCAGCAAGUAGCAAAUGGCAUGAAUUUAUUCAUGAUGCACUCACGCAUCAAGGGUGUAAAUCUUCUUUAGCUAGGUCCAAAUGCAGAUAGAUACAGUACAUGAAUGAUGUGUGAUAUGUCAUUGUAGGUUUCAGACCUGAUGAAAAGUUUAUUACAGUACACGAAAAAUAUUCAUGAAACGGUUAUACAGUACAGGAAUGAUGAGAAAUCGGAAAUUUCUGUACAGGAAUGAUGUAUAAUAAAUUGCUGAGAGGAAUAAAGAAGAUGCAGAAUGUCUGAAACUUCUCAAAACUGGAAACAAUUAUACAAAAGCUACCUGACAGAGUAUACGGCUAGGAAUCUGCCUAAUUCAGUGUCUCUUAUAAUCCACCAACGACUACGGCGUAAUCACCAUCAUUGCGGCUCAACCAGAAUUCGAUCGAAUAAUGAGGCAAAUAAAGCAGCUAAUAUGGGGUAAAUGCACACUAACUUGGCAGCAAGAACAGAUGGGUCAUAAGCGCCUUCAGUGACCCUACGACCUGCAAAUGGCAGUAUACAGACAGUGCGCCUUUACUCUGAAUAACCGAGAAGGAGCUAUCUUUAUCCUCUUUUUUUGCGGGGGAGCUGUCUUUAUCCUCCACUCAAGCUAGAUAUACUUACAAAGUUAGAGUUGUAUAAAGUUUUGAAGCGUAGCGCUGUGAAUGGAUCACUCGUCCAGCAGCCUCCUGACACAUAAAAUAGGCAGAGCGAGCAUUACAAGGUCCCAUAACUCGGGGUCAGGCUAGUCGAACACGAUGACGCGCACCACCGUGCGCCACGCCGACGCCAGGUAGUAGAGCGCGGGCCUCUCGCACUGGUUGUGCGCUAGGGGCUUCAUGUUGAACGCGCGCGCCUUGUAGUCAGCGGGCCAGUACCAGUUCAAGAACGUCCACGCCGGCAUCUGCAUCUCCCGCGCCAGCACAACGCCCUCGGCACCGUCACCACGAACCCCCACGCCACUGACACCGUCCACCGGUUCGCCGCGAUGUAGCAUAUCAACUGGUGCAUCACCCCCGUCGAACAGCCUCCGCAGAGACGCCGGGCGCGAACGCAUGUUGGGGAUAAGCGGUCGAGGUGGUGCAGCGAGUCAGCGACACCAGCGGUGCCACCUGGUGGGCGGCGAGGAGGCCCAGGAGGUCACCAUACACGCCUUACUCGUGGAAGCCCGAGUGUCGGCACACCCACAUCCGCCAUGCCCCAUGCACGAUGUAGUAGGGGACGGCGAGGAGGUUGUCCGGGAGGAAGACCGUGUUGUCGACUUGUCGUCACCCAUGACGAACCAGCUACACCUGGGAGACUGAGGCGGAAGGUCUCGGAGAUGACAGUCGACGUGUGAGAUGCAUGCGGAUGGCAGAGCGAUGACCGUGCGUGUAGGAGAAACCGGAGGUAUCCGGUAAGAUCUUGAUGUAUAUGCACUCCUUCCGCUUCUCCAACAGGCGCGCCAACGCCGUGAAGCCGAACACUGUAGCGUAAUCGUCGUUGUCGACACCGUGGCUGUGGCAGGUUGCGGUGGUGGUGGCGUACUCGUCGUCAACACCACCGUAUCUGUGGAGGGUGGUGGUGGCAUCCUCGCCGUCGACACCACCGUGACCGUGGCGGGCAUCAGCAGGGGCCUCGCCAGCGGCAACGUGACUAAUCAGGAGGAUAGCGUUGUGGGCGGCUUCUUCUGGGUGGAGGCAGCCGGGCGCUGCCACGCUGGGCAAGAUGCUAUGUGCGAAGAAGAGCCCUUUUAUAGGCCAGUACGGCGGUGAAUGGGUGGCUGGGUUAUGCACCGCACUGGAGCAGAGUUUUCGGGAGCGUCUAGAACACACGGCUGGACAACAGCGGCAGUAACAAAAAGGUACAUAUCGAUUGGGCCAGAAGCGGUCACGACAGAAAUACAGAGAAGCAUCGAUGUGUCUGGAAAGGGACAUAUCGAUUGGGCCAGAAGCGGCCGCGACAGAAAUACAGAGAAGCAUCGAUGUGUCAACCAACCGAUCGCCACACCCGUUGAAGAAAUUUGAAUCAAAAAACUGAACACACCACUCAUUUCUACCCUGCCGUGUACCAAAAAAAUACCACGCGCCAUACCCACAACUCACCAUAGGUCACUUUCAUCCAAUUGGUUUAAUCUCAAAGCGAAAACCUUGCCUGCAAUAGAGGCUUGGGUAUUUAAACUAGUGAUCGCUAACAUAGUAGAAGGGCGUGCUCAUAGUCCAUCAACCAUCGCGGUGGGUUGAUCUCGAACCUAGGCUGCGGUUAGAGCAUAAAAAUUGUAUGCGAUAUUGAGUCCAUCACACAAAGUUAGAACAUACAAACUAUGUGCAAUAGGAAGGGUCCAUCACACACGGUUAUAAUUAAAAAUCGUGUGCUCGGAUGGGUUGGCGAUUGGGGUGCCAAUACACACGCUUUCAAAAAGGUGUGCGAUGAAUGGGCUCGACUAGGUCUAACAUAAGUGCUACAUUAUACAAUUAUUAAUUUUUUACAAGCAAACAUAGCACCAGACAUAAUUCACAAUUGGACAACCCAUCGCACACUCUACGAUAUUUUGUUCUGCCAUUUCUCUACUAAUGGACAAAAGGCACUCGGCUUACAUCGGUAUGCCAACAUGAUGUACCUUGAGUGCGUUACGCUGAGUGUCAAANNNNNNNNNNGCGAUAUUGAGUCCAUCACACAAAGUUAGAACAUACAAACUAUGUGCAAUAGGAAGGGUCCAUCACACACGGUUAUAAUUAAAAAUCGUGUGCUCGGAUGGGUUGGCGAUUGGGGUGCCAAUACACACGCUUUCAAAACGGUGUGCGAUGAAUGGGCUCGACUAGGUCUAACAUAAGUGCUACAUUAUACAAUUAUUCAUUUUUUACAAGCAAACAUAGCACCAGACAUAAUUCACAAUUGGACAACCCAUCGCACACUCUACGAUAUUUUGUUCUGCCAUUUCUCUACUAAUGGACAAAAGGCACUCGGCUUACAUCGGUAUGCCAACAUGAUGUACCUUGAGUGCGUUACGCUGAGUGUCAAACCCGCCGAGGCAAAAUCAGCCUUUGCUAGGGGGUCUGCACACCCAAUGGCGGAGCUAUGUUGGNNNNNNNNNNNNNNNNNNNNNNNNNNNNNNNNNNNNNNNNNNNNNNNNNNNNNNNNNNNNNNNNNNNNNNNNNNNNNNNNNNNNNNNNNNNNNNNNNNNNNNNNNNNNNNNNNNNNNNNNNNNNNNNNNNNNNNNNNNNNNNNNNNNNNNNNNNNNNNNNNNNNNNNNNNNNNNNNNNNNNNNNNNNNNNNNNNNNNNNNNNNNNNNNNNNNNNNNNNNNNNNNNNNNNNNNNNNNNNNNNNNNNNNUCUUGUAGUGGAGAAUUUUCAACGUAUGAUGUAAAAUAGCCGUUGUGUCAAAAGAAUUGACAGUUAGGUCACUUUGGGCCAAAAAAAAGUAUCCAAAAGAUGCCCUAUAUACCUAUAUGUUGCAAAAGAAAAUUACCCAAAAUUUUGUCACACACAUCUAGUAGCUGCAUUGAAACCAAAAACAAUGCAGCAGGAACCCAACCACUAGCGAUGAGACUACCCCACCGCCGACAGUCGCCACCCCACACCUACUUUGACCGACUGUGCAGCGCAUGCUGCCGCCGUGACUCAAUCGGCCGUUCUCAGCCCCGCUACCACCCUGCCGCUUGGGAUGUCCGCUACCAAAUCUUGGGCCGGCGCAUCCGAUUCCACCGACUCUGGCCAUAGAAAGUUGGUGUAGCUACCGGGACAUCCCCCUUCAGUAUUUUGGCUAAUUUUGAACUUUUUGUCCGGAUCACAAGAAAAUGUUAGUAUCGUCCAUGUUGCUGAAGGGGAAUUACUACUUGGGGAUUUGCUCACUGAAUAUUGGAAUAUACUUACUUUAUGCAUGCCAUCAAAUAUAGCUCAUCCCCUGAAAGAACAAAGAUUGCUGAUGUUUUUUUCCAUGGUUUUCUAAAACAAUGUUGAUCUUUUUCAGAGAAAUGCAAUGAUUAUUUUUAGAGAACAUUCUGCAAAUCAACUAAAUAAGAGUCUAGGCAUUCUUCUUGUUUUUUUCGGGGGGAAGGUGUCUAGGCAUUUAUUAACAUGUAGAACUUACAAUGCAUGGGGAAUGAAAGAUCAAAUAUACCUUGCUCUCCUUUCUUAUUUUAGUGGCUGUUAAUGUCAUCAUAAAGAAUAUUACACAUUAGGAUUGAGUUGUUUUGCUCUUCUAUUUUCCAGUAAGCCCUGCGAUAUUUUACAACCCAUCGGACACCCUUGUCGAUCUGAUGCUAUGUAGAUCAAGAUUAUUUCUAAUUACCUGCGAGACACCGACAAAGUAUAUCAUGUGGAAUUUCUUGUUCCUGUGGUUAGGAGGCUGGGCAAAAAAUAUAUAUGAUCAUCACAAUAAUAUUAGGUCUUGGAACCAUGACUUAUUACAUAAUCAGUUUAUUCACUCUACAUAAAGCAGCGGACUCACAAAGACACAUGCAUAUUGGAUACUACAUUAUAUGGAAGGCGUGCAUGCAUCCGUAACCGAUCACACCCUUAGCUGCACCUGGGGCUCUGCACGAAGUUGCUAACCGGAAAUGACUGGUCGAACGUGGCUGCAUGCUCACUACCAGUAAACCUCAGCUUGUCACCGACGCGUUGAACCGUGUGGAAUGUGAGAAAAUCCCACUCAAAUUGGAUCCUCACGCCACCCAAUUGAGUUAUGGAUCCGGGCCGGAUAACACCACUGACUAUGCUGUCAAACCGAAUCUUGUGUGAUCCACCGGCAACCGUAACAUUGAAGUCGCAGGAGGCGGGGAGUGUCACCUCAACGGCGCCCCCAUGGUUCACGUACGACUUCACACCCUGAGGCAGGAGAGCCCGCGGGAAGUUGUUUAUCUCCAAAAGGUCGUACGCUGUGUCGGAGGUGGCUGCUUGGAGGACAGAAGCCAGGAAGACGAUGAGGAGCAGAUGCUGGAUGGCCAUGGCUAGCUAACUGUUGCUGCUUACAAAUUGUAUCAAGGAAUAUGAGGAACUGGGAAGUAUGUGUAGACUGAGGCCCUGGCCACGUAUUAUAUAUGCUGCCCAACGAAAUCAAAUUCAAUCGUACUUUAAUUGCAUUUAUUUUGUUCCUGAUUAUCACUCCAUCAACCACCUCAUCAAAUAUGCUAAAAAUAUCAUCCCAUUAAAUCAUAUUUAUUUCUGGCCUAGAACAUUCUAUAGUUAAUGGUUAUGCCAAAACGUUCCUCAAAUAUUCAUAAUCAAUACGUACCAUAAAAUGAGACUGAAAUUUCAGAGCAACAUUCAUUUACGUACUUCACAGCCGACAUAUGAAACAUAUGCAAAAACCUAAAAAUGAAUCAAGGGGAAACAUCAACAUCCCAACAGUUUGAUCCUUGAUGUUGGCUUGGGUACCAAUGAGGCUUCUCUUCUCUUCAAAUAAUGUUGUGCAGUGCAACUAAAACAUAAAACACCCGCAAGAAAGAAAUAUUUCAUUUAGAUAUACUUGAGUUUUACAUGAGUAUGCGGUGCAAUAGAAUGAUUAUCUCCCAUUGUACAGAUCAUCUCUUUCAGGAUGCCUACUCAGGCCAGCACAGACUCAUGCAUAACAUCUCCGUGAAAGUUUCCACAAUGUUAUAGCAUGAACUCCCAGACCAUGAGAGAGGCUCAGUACCCAUAUCCAAAAUGAAGAGUGCGGAGGAGCAGGUGCCUACCCCUCCACCUUCCACUUCUCUUAAAAUUUUCCUGUGCAAUGCAACUAAACUAAAAAACAACUCCAAGCAAUAUAUUCAAUUUAUAUCUUGUUGGGUUAUGAUACGUCUCCAACGUAUUUAUAUAUUUUUUAUUGUUCCAUGCUAUUAUAAUUGUUGGGUCAUGAGCCGAAAGCAAGCCAUCGAACAUGCCAGUGUUGGAUUGGAUGAGAUUGUCGACCGCCUGAAGGAGGUUCUCAUCGUGAUCCUUGAAGAGCCGGUCCAGACCUACGGUGAAAUAUGCUCGUUGAAGCGCGUACACGCCACACCUUUCCUCGGACGGCUUGUCCAUCGCCUCCGCUCACGGCCGAUCACGCCACCGCGUCCCGGGAUGGUGUCGCGGCAACUCCAGGACCACUUAAUCUUAUACCAAUUGUGAGCAACUCACCUGAUCGAGAGGAAUUGCUAGGGAUUAGAAUUCGAAAUUGCGGAAAUUGGUUUCUUAGCUAGACGUCCGUCCACCCUCAUAGCUACACUACACCGCAUGUUGCCAUCAUCCAAAUCCCAGCCAGGAGAUAGGAGAGAAGUAUAAUGCCUACUAGCUUAGCCCGCGCGGCGACACGCCGCGCCCAUCGAUCAGUCGCGACUAUGUAGACUAUGGUCCAAGCAUUAGAGUAAUAAGUAGUUAUGAUGAAAUUUGUUGCAUAACUUGAGGCUUUUUAGCAAAUUCUUUUGUUCACAACAAUUUAUAGACACAAAUAUCUAUCUUUCAUGGAAACUUUUAGUUUAUUUUGUACAUAGCAAGGGUCUGUCCACCAAGUUGAAACAAAUACACAACAUGACCAAAAGUAAGGAACUUCGGAACAGUGCUUUCGUAGCUAAAAUUUAAUAAUUUUUCACAUUUCAUAACAUAAAUACUUAACUAAAACUUACAUCUGAUCUGAAGUACAACCAUUGAGACAGUAAUAAAACCACUAUUUUGAUCAUCAGAAAAAAAUUAAUGUGCUUUACAUGGAAAAAGUUUAGAGACAAAAUAAUUUAGCCAAGAGAAAAACUAUUUCAGAUCACAAAAGGCGCUCCAAAGAGUAAUUGUGUAUAUUAUUCAAAAGAACACUUUGUUACCUUCAGGCUUUAAUUAGCCCCAUUGUAUCUUGUGGAAUCAUGCAGUGAUACAAAUUCUUACCAUAAACAAAAAAAUUAAGCAGCUCUUAAUAUAGAAACAACCAUAUCACUCUGAAUCAAGGGAGCAUGAUGCGAUGAACUGAUGACAGGGAAUCUAUGGUAGCAUAUACCCAGGAAACAGUGUUCAUGGAAACUUUGUUAAACAACCCCUUGCUCAGCUUAAAAGUAUUCCUUCCUGGGUCUCCACUGAAACAAAGCAAUAUUUAUACACCCACAGGUGAGAACAAUAUGAGAUUGUUUGAUAUAAAACCAACAAUGCUUGAACAUACUUGUUUCUCUACCUCACCAUGUGGCAACCAGAAAAAGCUUUAAAAAUUAAAAACCACUUGCAAAUUGAAGUUGAGAGCCUUCACUUAUUUCUCGAAAUGGAAGGAGGAAGGGGCCUUAAUUUGUCCCAGUAACCCCAUGAAUAUAAUUAGCCAAAUAUGUGGCAUUUCAUCUUAUUACAUGGUCAUGCUGAAGGAGGGAACAUCAAUAAAAUUAGGCAUAAGAAAUCCAUCAAAUGAAGAGAGAUGUACUUAGAAAUAAGAAUAACAAACAUUCUCAGAUACUAUGUACCUUAUCCUGCCUCUAAGAAUAUGUCAAGAAGGUGAAUCAUUCACUUUUAUGUUACCGUUGCUGACAACGGACAACUGUGGAUGGAAACAAAAUUCUCAGCAAUGCAUAUAUGAAACUAAGUAACAUGACUUAGAAAAUAUAAUGUAAAAUAUCACAAUAAACUACUACUAAGUAUGUUCAAUAGUAAUACAACCUCAGUUUGUACCCCAGAAAUUUCUAUCACCAAAACAUCUUAGAAGGUUCAGUGCUAGUGAUGUGCCUGCCAUAAAACCGAAUGCCAAUUUCUAGUUAAAAAAUAACCGCGCAAGACCAUAUUCCUCUACCGCCAAGGGUAUAUGAUCGAGUGGGGCCAACUAAAGACAGGCCCCACGAUUCCAUUUUUUAAUGUAUGUUGUUGUAUAAUGAAUGACGCGCUUGUAUGCUUACGUGACUAUUUGGUUUUUGAUGUGAUGGAAAUUGGAGGGAAAGAUGCUGGACGGACUAAUUUGAUCAAUCGGGUGAGUAGAAGUAUUAGAGUUUUGGCCAUCUCAUCCAUUAAAUUUGGAUGGAGGGUAUGCAUCUUAAUAUGAUAAACAUAUAUGCAUACCGUAUAUGGGUUAUAUACAUAUAAAAAUCAGUGCAGCAGGCAUUUUUUCUGAAUCUAAACAUCUUGGUGGCCGACUUCCAGUGUGAAAAUAUUGGUUUUAGUCCCUGGUCAAAUGGACUGAUGCAUAUUAUGUUUGGUUGUACCACGAAAAAUAAUUUGGUUGCUUUAAGACAUUCAACCGAGGUAGACGAUGCAAUUUUGGCUGACAUGAAGUUUUACGAUCAUCAAUAUAGCAGAAUAUGCAAAAGAUGGGAUAAAGCAAGUCAUAUCUACUCCCUCAGUCCCAUAAUAUAAGAGCGUUUUUGACACGAUGGAGGGAGUAGUUUGUUUAUUUGUUUGAGGAACACUUAUUUGCUUGGAGAAUAAUGAAGUGUGCUUGCACCGGUACACAUGAGAUGAACUUGAACAAAAGAUCUGCAUUCAUAUAUGCAUUGUACCAGAAAUCAGUGCUGCUCUAACUUGCCUCUGCAUUGCCUCUGAACCAGUGCUGAUCUAUAUCGGAGAUCAGGAAUUUACUCAUCAGGUCACUGCAUCUACUUUAUUGCGAUUAAACCACCAAACUCAAAGAAAUACCUGCAAUUUAUUUAAUAGUCUUAUUUGAUUUUUUAUUCAGAAUGCGUUGAGCUAUUUCUUUUGCCGAGCUACAUUCUUGUACAUUGGAUUCUCAAGGAGCAUCACUUGCGAGACAUAUCUUCACAUACUACCAUUUCAGAACACCACUCCCUUCACGCACAGGACAUACAUGUUCUACAUCCACCCCUCACACUCCUAAUUUCAAACCGAGUUGGCAGGUUAUUGUAAGGCAGGUAAGCAACCUUCUAGAUGGAAUGUUGGAAUUUACUCUGGCAAGGUAGGUCUUAAACAUAUUAUCAUCUGGCUAUCUACUGUUUGAGCUCCCCAUGCUGCUAACACCAUCAAAUAUUGUUUGCUCUGGACAUCUUCAUAUGCCAAUUUGACCUUCUUUUUGGCAGACACAGUAUCUCAGAACAUCUAAAUUGACUCCUUGCACAGGUCUCUGAAUUGACACAAUCAGAAGGAUAAAACAAUCGCUAGAGCUCUUAUAGGAAGUCAGCCAUCAUUUUACUUAGACUAAAGAAGGUGUCUAUCACAAAAAAGGAAAAAAAGUAAGUGCGAAGAAACACAUGUAGGGUUCCACAUAAUUUGUAAGAGAUGAUCAAGGCAUAUAGUUGCAGCAAGUAGCAAAUGGCAUGAAUUUAUUCAUGAUGCACUCACGCAUCAAGGGUGUAAAUCUUCUUUAGCUAGGUCCAAAUGCAGAUAGAUACAGUACAUGAAUGAUGUGUGAUAUGUCAUUGUAGGUUUCAGACCUGAUGAAAAGUUUAUUACAGUACACGAAAAAUAUUCAUGAAACGGUUAUACAGUACAGGAAUGAUGAGAAAUCGGAAAUUUCUGUACAGGAAUGAUUUAUAAUAAAUUGCUGAGAGGAAUAAAGAAGAUGCAGAAUGUCUAAAACUUCUCAAAACUGGAAACAAUUAUACAAAAGCUACCUGACAGAGUAUACGGCUAGGAAUCUGCCUAAUUCAGUGUCUCUUAUAAUCCACCAACGACUACGGCGUAAUCACCAUCACUGCGGCUCAACCAGAAUUCGAUCGAAUAAUGAGGCAAAUAAAGCAGCUAAUAUGGGGUAAAUGCACACUAACUUGGCAGCAAGAACAGAUGGGUCAUAAGCGCCUUCAGUGACCCUACGACCUGCAAAUGGUAGUAUACAGACAGUGCGCCUUUACUCUGAAUAACCGAGAAGGAGCUGCCUUUAUCCUAUUUUUUUGCGGGGGAGCUGUCUUUAUCCUCCACUCAAGCUAGCUAUACUUACAAAGUUAGAGUUGUAUAAAGUUUUGAAGCGUAGCACUGUGAAUGGAUCACUCGUCCAGCAGCCUCCUGACACAUAAAAUAGGCAGAGCGAGCAUUACCAGGUCCCAUAACUCGGGGUCAGGCUAGUCGAACACGAUGACGCGCACCACCGUGCGCCACGCCGACGCCAGGUAGUAGAGCGCAGGCCUCUCGCACUGGUUGUGCGCUAGGGGCUUCAUGUUGAACGCGCGCGCCUUGUAGUCAGCGGGCCAGUACCAGUUCAUGAACAUCCGAGCCGGCAUCUGCAUCUCCCGCGCCAGCAUGACGCCCUCGCCACCGUCACCACGAACCCCCACGCCACUGACACCGUCCACCGGUUCGCCGCGAUGUAGCAUAUCAACUGGUGCAUCACCCCCGUCAAACAGCCUCCGCAGAGAUGCCAGGCGCAAACGCAGCGAGUCAGUGACACCAGCGGUGCUACCUGGUGGGCGGCGAGGAGGCCCAGGAGGUCACCAUACAUGCCUUACUCGUGGAAGCCCGAGUGUCGGCACGCCCAGCUCCGCCAUGCCCCAUGCAUGAUGUAGUAGGGGAUGGCGAGGAGGUUGUCCGGGAGGAAGACCGUGUUGUCGACUUGUCGUCGCCCAUGAUGAACCAGCGUACACCUGGGAGACUGAGGCGGAAGGUCUCGGAGAUGACGGUCGACGUGUGAGAUGCAUGCGGAUGGCAGAGCGAUGACCGUGCGUGUAGGAGAAACCGGAGGUAUCCGGUAAGAUCUUGAUGUAUAUGCACUCCUUCCGCUUCUCCAACAGGCGCGCCAACGCCGCGAAGCUGAACACUGCAGUGUAAUCGUCGUUGUCGACAGCGUCGCCGUGGCAGGUUGCGGUGGUGAUGGCGUACUCGUCGUCGACACCACCGUCACUUUGGAGGGUGGUGGUGGCAUCCUCGCCGUCGACACCACCGUGACCGUGGCGGGCGUCGGCAGGGGCCUCGUCAGCGGCAACGUGACUAAUCAGGAGGAUAGUGUUGUGGGCGGCUUCUUCUGGGUGGAGGCAGCCGGGCGCUGCCACGCUGGGCAAGAUGCCAUGUAUGAAGAAGAGCCCUUUUAUAGGCCAGUACGGCGGUGAACGGGUGGCUGGGUUAUGCACCGCACUGGAGCAGAGUUUUCGGGAGCGUCUAGAACACACGGCUGGCCAACAGCGGCAGUAACAAAAAGGGACAUAUCGAUUGGGCUAGAAGCGAUCGCGACAGAAAUACAGAGAAGCAUCGAUGUGUCAGGAAAGGGACAUAUCGAUUGGGCCAGAAGCGGCCGUGACAGAAAUACGGAGAAGCAUCGAUGUGUUAGACUGGCCCACAAGCAAUGAAAAAACGCUAAGCCAACCAAGCGAUCGCCACACCCGUUGAAGAAAUUUGAAUCAAAAAACUGAACACACCACUCAUUUCUACCCUGCCGUGUACCAAAAAAAUACCACGCGCCAUACUCACAACUCACCAUAGGUCACUUUCAUCCAAUUGGUUUAAUCUCAGAGCGAAAACCUUGCCUGCAAUAGAGGCUUGGGUAUUUAAACUAGUGAUCGCUAACAUAGUAGAAAGGCGUGCUCAUAGUCCAUCAACCAUCGCGGUGGGUUGAUCUCGAACCUAGGCUGCGGUUAGAGCAUAAAAAUUGUAUGCGAUAUUGAGUCCAUCACACAAAGUUAGAACAUACAAACUAUGUGCAAUAGGAAGGGUCCAUCACACAUGGUUAUAAGUAAGGGUUAAUUAUCCUUUUGCCCUUAGUGGUGUCCAUGUGCUCAGUUUUGCCCUCAGAUGCGAAUUGUCCUCAGUUUUGCCCCUAGUCCGAGCACAGCAACUACGACGAGGCCAAACGGCCAUAUUUGAGUCCAUUCCGUCCGCCGGCGUUAGUAGUUGUGGGUCCGGAGCUUACACGUGGGACCGCGUGGACGUGGGUCCGGAGCUGACAUGUAGGCCCCUGCAACUAAAUCCCCAAAUCAUUCUAGCUCACACCCAUCCGCGCGGCCGGCUGUCCUGCGCCGCCGCCGCCGCCACCUGCGCCGCGGCCAGCACCUGCCCUGCCACCAGUUGCACGGCCUGCUCCGCCGCUACCUCCCUGCGCCUACGCUCCACGGCUCAUUGUGACGCCCACCACCUUCCUGCGACGCCACGGGUGGGGCGCCCGCCACCUGCUCGAUUCGCGGCGCGGCCUCCUUCCGUGCGCCCGGCCGGAGCGCUCAAAGGUGGGGGGCUGCUGGAGCUAUUUGAACUAGGAGGAAGAACCCUAGGGCGAAAUGGUGAGCAGCGGCGACCCCGGAGUAUUUGGCGAGGCAGGCAUCGGGCCGGAGAUCCGCCGCGUCCACGACUGGGUUCCCGAGGGGUAAGUCUCGCCUCUUGUUUAGAUUGAGCUUAGUUGUGCAUUUGAACACUCGAUUCGAGUAGGUUUGCCCAAUUAGUGUGCUGAUUGCGUCUCUGUUUUUCGCCGGUUAGGAUGGAGUUGCGGUUUGCUUUCAUGGUGCACAUUAGAAGGGACCGGUACAUGUUCGAUGCAAAGGAUAAGAAGAAAUACCAAGGAGGUUUUGAUUAUCGGUUGCCAAUGGCUAGUAAUUGGAGUUUCAGACAAAUUGGGGAGGUAAUUUGUAGCCAAUAUCCUUGGGGUUUGCUUGAUGAAGUGGUAUACAAAUACUAUGAUGGGGAAAAGAAUUGGGUGACAGUUAGUAAUGAUGAAGAGCUAGCUACCAUGUUUGUUAGGCAUAAAGAGAAAGAUAAUUUUCAUGUGAGGCUGCAAGUUGAUGUGCUUGAGCAGGCAUUUGGACCUAGGAUGGCGGGUGCAACAUCUCGGGGAGAAUCAAGUCGUCGUAAUGGCAUCUCUAGCCAGAACAGUUCAGUUGGUGCACGGCGACGUGGUGGCUCGACAAGUGUGGGCAACAGCAGUAGGGUCCCCCUUGAAGUGGAGCCUGAUGGCUACAAUUCUGGGGUUGAUGAAGAGAAGUUAUAUUCUGAUGUUAUUCAGAAUUUACGACGGGCACCUCGGGCUGAAAACCAAGAUGAGGCUCACAAUGCAGUCCGUGUGGAUGAUGACGCAAUGGGUGAGGACGAAGACCUUGCAGCUGUUGAAUGGGACCCUUUGAACCCUCAAAUGGAAGAAGGUACAGUUUUUGCAUCCAUGAAUGAGUGUAGAAAUGCACUUGUGACAUACUGCAUCAAGGUAGAACGUACUUUCAAAGUUGACAAGAGCGAUCAAGUACGUUACAGAGUGCACUAUCCUACUGAGGGUUGUCCAUGGAGGCUGCUUGCAGCUAAAAUGCGGAAUAGCACUAAUGUUCAGGUCAAAGUGGAUCCUUUUAAGCACACAUGCCAGGAAUCAACUCUUAGGAAGGAUACAAUCAGUAGAGCCAAGUCAAGAUGGGUGGCAGAAGAAGUAAAAAAGUGGGUGAAAGAAAACCAGCAAGUGGGUCCAAAGGAAUUGCAGAAGAACAUCAAAGAUAAGUUCAAGAUAGAUUUACCAUACAUGAGAUUGUUCAAUGGUAAACAACAUGCUAUGGAUUCUAUUUAUGGUAACUGGCAGGAAAGUUUUCAAUUGUUGUAUUCAUUCAAAGGUGAAGUGGAGAGGACAAGCCCAGGUAGUAUUGUAGAUAUUGAUCACCACACCGUGGAGUACACAUUAAGGGGAGUGACAAAGACCAAGGAAUGCUUUAGAAGGGUUUUUGUCUGCUUUGAGGCUUGUCGCCGGGGUUUUUUGGUAGGCUGCAGGCCUUAUUUGGCUAUUGAUGCCACUUUUCUCACAGGAAGGUUUAAAGGACAGUUAGUUGCAGCUUGUGCAGUUGAUGCACAUAGUUUUGUAUUUCCAGUUGCCUAUGGUGUGCUGGAGACAGAGUCUGAGGAGAGCUGGACUUGGUUUUUGCAUAAUCUCCGCCGGGCUAUUGCACAUCCCAAUGGGUUGGUCAUUCAUACAGAUGCCUGCAAAGGUUUAGAAGUGGCCGUGGACAAUGUGUUCCCUGGAGUAGAGCAUAGGGAAUGCAUGCGUCACCUUGCUGCAAAUUUCAUGAAGAAAUUCAAAGGAAAGGUGUAUACCGACAAUUUAUGGCCAGCAUCUUUGACAUGCAGUGUGAAGAAGCAUAACUACCACUUGAGGCAGUUAUACAUGAAUCCCAAAGUGAAAGAAUACUUGGAAACACACCACUCCAAGUUAUGGGCCAGAAGCCAAUUCAGUGAAGUGAGCAAAGUUGACUAUGUGCACAAUAAUCUAGCAGAGUCUUUCAACUCAACGAUCCGGAAACUAAAGGGUCAUUAUGUGGUGGAUUUGCUUGACAGGAUAAGGAUAUAAUACAUGCAGAAAUUUCAUUAUCGUGCAGGAAUAGCCGAGGCAAAAUUCAUGGGCCACAUUAUCAUCCCUGCCAUGAUGAAUGAACUGAAGCAGAAGACAAUAGGCUUGGAAAUGAACAUGACGCUUUGCUCGGGUACCACAGCAGAGAUAUCAUAUUUGGAUAAAGAGAAGAGGGAAUGGAGAUAUCCAGUGGAUUUAGAAGCUAGAACUUGCAGUUGUAGGCAAUGACAGAUAACUGGGUUGCCAUGCAUUCAUGCCUUAUUUUUCAUCACUUCUCUCCCAGGUCCAGCAGGGAACACACAGCAGUAUGUGCAUGAUUACUACUCUGUUGCAAGGUUCAAAGCCACAUAUGCUUAUGCCUUGCCUGCUAUGGAGGGAAAACAACAAUGGGACAUGGUGGACCCUGGAUUCAAGCUUUGCGCUCCAGUUCUGAAGAGAGCAGCAGGUAGACCAAGGAAGAGUCGAAUAAGACCUUGCAGCGAAGGAGCUGGACUUGGAGCGAGGAAGCGUAAGUGCACAAGAUGUGGUGGGUCUGGUCAUUUCGGUAAGUAUUGUGAUAAUACAGUAGAUCCAGCGUUCGGAGAGAGUUUCGAUGAAGGCUUCGAUGAAAAUGUUGGUCAGCAGCCGGUUGCCUCAACAGAUGAUGAAAAUGUUGGUCAACAGCCGGUUGCCUCAACAGAUGAUGAAAAUGAUGGUCAACAGCCGGUUGCAUCAGAUGAGGAUUUUGACGAGGUUCCAAAUGAUGAUGGUCAACAGCCGCAUGAUUUUGACGAUGAUCCAAAAUAUCCUCCAAAUAAUGAUUCAAGUGAGGCUCCAAAUGGUGAUCCAAGUGAGGCUCUAAAUGGUGAUCAUGGUGAUCCAAGUGAGGCUCCAAAUGAUGAUCCAAGUGAGGCUCCAAAUGGUGACCAACCUUCUGUUGUUGUGAGUUCUGCUAGGUAUGUAAAUCUUGCAAGGGUCAAAUACUACUGUACAUCUAUCACUUGACACGAUCUCAUUACCGUUUAUGUUUGGACCCUUUAUGUUUUGCACAGCUCUAUGGUAGGUUUGAAGAAGACGCGCAAGGUACCGACAACCAAGAGAAGAAGAGAAGAAACAAUGAGCACAAGGUGCACGAGGAGCAAAGUGAUGACAAGAAGCUCAAGGAACAGACAGAAGCCCCAACGCUAUCUAUGAACAAUUAUGAAACAUUAUGAAUAAGGAAUGAUGUUGUAUUAUGAAACAUUUAUCACUUGACAUGUUGUAUUUCUGUUGGAUGAUGUUGGACCUAUGUUAGAAGUAUGUUUGACAUGAUGUUUAAAUAUAUGUUGGAUGAUGUUUGAAUGAGCACAUGGUUUUUCCUUUUUUUGAUUUUUUUGAAUUUUAUUUUGCUCAUUUAAAUUCUGGUCAAACCUAACUUUGACCAAGAUUUAAGCAAGUCUAAAACAUCAAAAUGAAAAACUAAGCCUGGAUACUUCUUAGUCAAUCCAAAAUGAAGUUGUGGUGAGGUUUUUGAAAUUUUCAUGAAAAAUGUGCUAAAAAGAGGGGUCCAAAGGUAGGGUAAACGGCCUCAUUUCUAAGCAAGGUUUUUUUCGACCUUAUCUAAAUCAGUCAAAUAACUUUCCUACACAUAUAUUCUAUAUGUACAGACUAUGUGCGCUGGUUUUUCCAUUUUUUGAUUUUUUUUAAAUUUGUUUUGCUCAUUUGAAUUCUGGUCAAACUUAACUUUGACCAAGAUUUAAACAAGUGUAAAACAUCAAAAUGAAAAACUAAGCCUGGAUCCUUCUUAGUCACUCCAAAAUGAAGCUGUGGUGAGUUUUUUGAAAUUUUCAUGUUCAUUUCCCCAAAACACUUCUCUUCACUUCAUACAAGAGAGUUUGAGAUACUCGAGAUAUCAUACAAUACACAUGAACUUAUCAUUUAAAUGUAUGUAAAGCUUGUUUAUCAACUUAAAUCGUUAGUAUAUGACAUAAGAAGACUAUGUGCGCAGGUUUUUCAUUUUUCUGAUUUUUAUUUAAUUUAUUAUGCUCAUUUGAAAUCUGGUCAAACAUAGCUUUGACUGCUCCAAACCCCUCCCAAACCCCGCUAACCCUAGCGCUGAAUAAGGACCGUUCAUCUAACCCUAGUGGUGAUCAAGGGCCGUCGAUCUAACCCUUCUAGAAGAAAUCUGCGGGGAGGAGGGGGGCGAUCCGCGAGAUGCAAUCUGAUUGGCUGGGAGAUUGUUUUUUUUAACAAAUAUCGGACGCGCUGGAUGGACCGUUGGGCCGUCUCGUUGUCUGGGCCUGAGAUCGCAGUAAAUAGCCCGUCUCAGCCUUUCCAGGCCUUGCAUGCAUGGAGGCGGCUACGUGGGUUUGCGCAUGCGCGGGAGGCGGCGACGUGCAUGCAUGCGAGUGAGGCGAGCUAGGCGAGCUAGGCUAGCGAGGCGAGCUAGGUGGUUCAGGGCAGUGGUUCAGGGCAGCGGUUCACAUGCACUGCCCGGUCAAAGAUGCAUCGUUUUCGUGCAAAAAUGUAAGUGUGCAAAACAUAACGGAUACACACACGCGUCCAGAUUCACGCACGCACCAUUCUCAUCCUUUCUCUCUUCCUCUCCCACCCACAGGCCUAUAAAUGGGGUUCCUCUCUUCCUCUCCCACCUACAAGCCAGAUCCGAUCCUCUCCAACUGCAAACACCCAAGCGACCAAGCCCUCCCCAAGCGAGACCAAGUGAAGAAGAUGUAGUUCAACGGGCCGACCUUCCGCCGUCCGCCUGUGGUGCCGGAGCUGCGCUACCCACCGGGCGUGCUCGUGGAGAGGGAGCUCCGUGUGUGGGCUAUUUCAAGGUGGAGGGGUUUCGUCGAACUCACCCGCGCCUUCCUCAGAGCCGGCUAUGCCCACCUCCUACAGGGCUCAUCGAGGAUGUUCACCCUCAACGAGGUUCGUGACCGCGGCGGCAUCCUCCUACUGCUCACGGUCACCUUCACCAACCCAUUUGACGCGCGCGAGCUCCUCGGCCAAGUCUUUUGGUGCGGCUGCGAGGUCAUCUUCUUCACCAUCUACAACAUCUACACCAACUACAAGCGCAUCUUCCCUGCUCCAGGCCAGAUGCACUCCCUUCCCUACGACGACGAGGAGGAGGUGUGAAGAUGAAGACGGUGUUGAAGGGGCGCGCGCGGCCAAGGUGGAAGAAGGAGGUCAAGAUGAAGAUGUUCAAGCCCGGAGUCAAGCUCAUCAUGUUUGGUUUUUUAUUUUGUUGCUUUUCUAUGUCGUGUCGUGUCGUGUCAUGUUUCAUCAUGUGUCCGUGAACUAUCCGUGAACUUAUCUAAGUUAUUGUAAUGGUACGGUGUGUUCCAUCUUAUUAUGUGUGUUAAAAAAUGUCCGUUCCCAAACUUAUCAUUUCUUCCCUAAACAAGUCAUGAAGUUCGAGAACUUGUGGUUUUCGGAGGGGGUGAGAAGCCCUCUGUUUUAUUCAAACAAAAAGUCAUGAACUAACAUGCAAAUUUAUUCCCUUUAAAUCCUAAACCAAGUGCCACUCUAACCCUAAACCAAGUGCCACUCUGACCAAAAUCAUGUGGUAGUGCAACAUACAUUUUCAACCUUCCAACCCUCCAAAAUUUAAGUGCAAAACAAAGGAAAACCACUCUCACGCGUGUGCAAACAUUCACGGUCUCACUAUUUUUUUUUAAAAUUCACAGUCUCACUAUGUAUACCUUCCUUCCCUACCCAUGUCAAAGUCUUGCCAUCUGUCCUAGCGGUUACCAGCGCAGCCCUAAACACCACAAACCCACGCGGUCCUGGGUUCGAGUCCCCAGCCGCACCAAUUUUUUGUGCAUUUUCCACCCUUCAUUUUUUUAUACAUAUUAUGUUUUCCUCAAUGUAAUGCCCUUAAAAAAUGUUCAUUUAUUUUGGCACCUGGCGUAAACCUCUACCAGAGCUGAGGCACAUUUUCCAUGACAUUUUGGUCUUUGAUUUAAAUCACGGUGUAUUUGAAUUGGAUUAAUUAACAGCUCGAAAAAAUUUCUAACCUUAAUUGUUUGGCUCCGGAAUAAUUCAAUUAGCUUCCACAAAAAGUUUCAGCAUUAUGAUUUACUGCCUAAAUUAAAUCAGAAUAGAAAACAAAAAAAUAUGCAAGAAAACCCCUGAAUGGGCCUAAUUGGAUGCAGUUGGCCCAUUAGUCUAGCCUGCACUUGGCUCUACGCUCUGAAUUUGGCCCAAGAGCAACCUUUUUUCGGACAGAAAGGCAGAGCAGAGAGCUGCAUUUCAUUGAUCAAAAGUUUCUGAAUUCCUAAUUUCUUCUCUUUUUUUUCCAACAUAUUUAAAUGUUGGUCACUUCUUCUCUUUUUGUUUCAACAUUUAAACAACUUUAACCAACAUUUAAACUAGGUGAAUUUCUCAAACAAUUUCAAGAUUACAAAUUCCUUCAUAAUUCAUGCCUUUCCAUACAUUUUCAACAUUACAACCAGUGCGAUUACCAUACCUACAAAUGCCCAAAAGUAUUUGCAAAUGGGUAUUGGUAGUGCUUGAUCUUCAAGCUUCCUAACCUUCUUCUUCAACAUCCUAAGCUCAAUAGCUAGCUCUCUGUCAGUGCGUGCUUCGCCAUCCAUCUCUUCUUCCGGAGCUCGUGGUGUGGCUACUGCCGUUCGUGGCAGCAUGCGCAACCAUUCUUCAUGCUCUUCUUGCAGUUCAUUCAUCAGAGUCUUGGCCAGAGCAUCGACCCAAAGAAAGAAGCAUGUCACCUGCAUGAACACUAAACAGAUCAACCCAUUGCUCAAACAUCCCGACGACGAAAAUGGUGCAAUUGCCCCGAUUCUUACCCCAUUCUCGCUGCACACGUAGAACGGACGAUUCUGGUUCCUCGGUGUCUGAGAAACCCUUCGAUCAACGCCCGCCCGGCACCGCGGACAGACGAAGACAGGCAUGUCCACACGCGCCCGGCUCUGCAUCCGCGAGGUGGCGCGGGAGCUUGAGGAAGACAUGGAGCUCGGAGCCGAAGGGGAUCUCAACGUUGCCGCGCCCUCCACUGCUAGCUUCCCACCGCCGCGCCCUCCACAGCUAGCUUCCCGCCGCCGUGCUCUCUCUCUCGCCGUGGUCACCGCCGUGCUCUCUGUCGCCGUGGUCACCGCCGUUGUCGCCCGCUUAUAUAGCACACCCGCCAACGGCUCUCUGCUCAAUGGCUCUUUGCUGGGUCCCACAAGCCACGCGUGCAACGGACUGAAUAAAAUUGGCCGUUUCUGCCGCCUGGUCCCACCUGUAAGGGCCGAGUCAAAAGGUUGACCUGACGGAGACGGCAGAGUUCACGGAACGAGUCGGUGCGCACGGACUAGGGGCAAAACUGAGCACAAUUCGCAUCUGAGGGCAAAACUGAGCACAUGGACACCACUGAGGGCAAAAGGAUAAUUAACCCUAUAAUUAAAAAUCGUGUGCUCAGAUGGGUUGGCGAUUGGGGUGCCAACACACACGCUUUCAAAACGGUGUGCGGUGAAUGGGCUCGACUAGGUCUGAAAUAAGUGCUACAUUAUAAAAUUACUCAUUUUUUACAAGCAAACAUAGCACCAGACGUAAUUCACAAUUGGACAACCCAUCGCACACUCUACAAUAUUUUGUUCUGCCAUUUCUCUACUAAUGGACAAAAGGCACUCGGCUUACAUCGGUAUGCCAACAUGAUGUACCUUGAGUGCGUUACGCUGAGUGUCAAACCCGCCGAGGCAAAAUCAGCCUUUGCUAGGGGGUCUGCACACCCAAUGGCGGAGCUAUGUUGGGGCCAGGGGGCCACUGCCCCCCAGCCUUUGAUCAAUUCCUGAAGAAAAUUUAUUUAGGGAGGCUUAGAUUAGACUUUUUUUAGCAUUUGGCGCCCCCAAAAACUGAAGAUUUUUGUUUCCCCCCCCAGUGAUCUUCGGCUAGCUCCGCCACUAUGCACACCCAGCUUAAUAUGCUUUCUUGUAGUGGAGAAUUUUCAACGAAUAAUGUAAAAUAGCCGUUGUGUCAAAAAAAUUGACAGUUAGGUCACUUUGGGACAGAAAAAGUAUCCAAAAGAUGCCCUAUAUACCUAUAUGUUGCAAAAGAAAAUUACCCAAAAUUUUGUCACACACAUCUAGCAGCUGCGCUGAAACCAAAAACAAUGCAGCAGGAACCCAACCACUUGCGAUGAGACUACCCCACCGCCGACAGUCGCCACCCCACACCUACUCUGACCGACUGUGCAGCGCAUGCCGCCGCCACGACUCAAUCGGCCGUUCUUAGCCCUGCUACCACCCUGCCGCUCGGGAUGUCCGCUACAAAUCUUGGGUCGGCGCAUCCGAUUCCACCGACUCUGGCCAUAGAAAGUUGGUGGCUACCGGGACAUCCCCCUUCAGUAUUUUGGCUAAUUUUGAACUUUAUGGACGGAUCACUAGAAAAUGUUAAUAUCGUCCAUGUUGCUGAAGGGGAAUUACUACUUGGGGAUUUCCUCACUGAAUAUUGGAAUAUACUUACUUUAUGCAUGCCAUCAAAUAUAGCUCAUCCCCUGAAAGAACAAAGAUUGCUGAUGUUUUUUUCCACGGUUUUCUAAAACAAUGUUGAUCUUUUUCAGAGAAAUGCAAUGAUUAUUUUUAGAGAACAUUCUGCAAAUCAACUAAAUAAGAGUCUAGGCAUUCUUCUUGUUUUUUUCAGGGGGAAGGUGUCUAGACAUUUAUUAACAUGUAGAACUUACAAUGCAUGGGGAAUGAAAGAUCAAAUAUACCUUGCUCUCCUUUCUUAUUUUAGUGGCUGUUAAUGUCAUCAUAAAGAAUAUUACACAUUAGGAUUGAGUUGUUUUGCUCUUCUAUUUUCCAGUAAGCCAUGCGAUAUUUUACAACCCAUCGGACACCCUUAUGGAUCUGAUGCUAUGUAGAUCAAGAUUAUUUCUAAUUACCCGCGAGACACCGACAGAGUAUAUCAUGUGGAAUUUCUUGUUCCUGUGGUUAGGAUGAACCAUUGCAACAUAUCGCAAUAAAUAGCUGGGCAAAAAAAAUAUGAUCAUCACAAUAAUAUUAGGUCUUGGAACCAUGACUUAUUACAUAAUCAGUUUAUUCUCUCUACAUAAAGCAGCGGACUCACAAAGACACAUGCAUAUUGGAUACUACAUUAUAUGGAAGGUGUGCAUGCAUCCGUAACCGAUCACACCCUUAGCUGCACCUGGGGCUCUGCACGAAGUUGCUAACCGGAAAUGACUGGUCGAACGUGGUUGCAUGCUCACUACCAGUAAACCUCAGCUUGUCACCGACGCGUUGAACCGUGUGGAAUGCAAGAAAAUCCCACUCAAACUGGAUCCUCACGCCACCCAGUUGAGUUAUGGAUCCGGGCCGGAUAACACCACUGACUAUGCUGUCAAACCGAAUCUUGUGUGAUCCACCGGCAACCGUAACGUUGAAGUCGCAGGAGGCGGAGUGUCACCUCAACGGCGCCCCCAUGGUUCAUGUAUGACUUCACACCCUGAGGCAGGAGAGCCCGCGGGAAGUUGUUUUUCUCCAAAAGGUCGUCCGCUGUGUCGGAGGUGGCUACUUGGAGGACAGAAGCCAGGAAGACGAUGAGGAGCAGAUGCUGGAUGGCCAUGGCUAACUGUUGCUUAUAAAUUGUAGGAUCGAUAUACGAAAAUGAGGAAUGGGGAAGUGCGUGCAGACUGAG